Molecule: long non-coding RNA, 1201 nt
Filed under: Olea europaea subsp. europaea
Lineage: Eukaryota; Viridiplantae; Streptophyta; Magnoliopsida; Lamiales; Oleaceae
Source: RNAcentral
CCUACAAAAAAAAUCCUUUUCUUUCCCUAAAAUGUCGAAACCCUACAAUUGACGAACUCCAAUGUCUCUCCGCCCCUAACUUCGUCCAUCUUCCCCAACUCCACUGGAGAACUCAUCAACCCCAACGGAAUCCGCUUGGUCCAGUUUGUUGGUUUUGCAACCAUUAUCUGUUCGGCUGAUUUUCUUUCCUCGAAGUCGUUACCACCUUCUUCUCUGCUGGAAUCUACAACAAAUUUCUGAUAAGUGUGAUUUUGGGUUUAAAUGUGCGUGUCAAUGUUGUUAAGUGUCUGUGUAUUUGUAUAUAGCUUGGAGGAAUUGAAUGUGAAUGGUCGAAAUUUGUGUGUUCAUGAAUUUGAAGUUGGAAUUGGAAUCCCUAUUGUUGAGCUUAUGUGCAUGGGUCUGAAUUGUAUGUUACUACCCUGCUGUUCAUAUGAUUUUAAGCAUUUGUGUUCUGGUUGUAUAUGCCCAGAUUACAACCCUGCUGUUGAAUUGGAAUUUGAAAUAGUAAAAUUUUACCUAUUUUUUGAGCUGAGGCUAUGAUGUAGUGGUUAGUUUCACUCUCUUGCACUGAUUUUGUAAAAUGAAAUUUGUGAGGCGCAGAUUAAAUUGGUUACUAUGUUAUUGACAUUUUUUCUUCGUGGUUGAGUGACAGCUUAUAAUGGGCAGAAAAAAUCAUGGAGUAUGUUAUAGUUGUAGACGUAUCGGUCACUUCUUCACGGAUUGCCCAAAUAAAACGUCCAUGCCCAUCGUGCAAACAUUCAUUUGUGAAGUGCUUUGAGAUGGAGAAAGAUACGAAGAACAAAGGUAAAUGGUUCAAUUGUUGUAGCGCGAACUAUGGAUAUUGCGAGUGGGUUGUAGCGGGUGAAAUGAGCAGUGAAUCAAAUUUCGUUGGCUGUACACGUACUAAGCUUCUGGCAAACAAAUUAGAUGAAGAUGUAUCCGGCAUGUUCGAAACCAUGUGUCGCCUGAGUCACGAAAAAGACGUGGAGAUUUCUGUAAAUGUGACAAUACGUAAAGGAAAGGCAAUUGCGAAAGGGGAGAAGAAAUGAAAAGGGUAUGCCUAAUUUAUUAUUGAUGUAUCAAUCUAUUGUUUAGCGUAUGUUGUAACUGCGGCAGGAUGCCUGCCUAUCAUUCGGUGAACGUUUAAUGUUAUAUUUAUAUGCAUUAAUGUGAUUACUUUAUGUGAAACUUUUUGGUUAUC